This 253-nucleotide ribosomal RNA is filed under the name uncultured bacterium. RNAcentral's name for it is "partial 16S ribosomal RNA". It matches the Rfam family "Bacterial small subunit ribosomal RNA", at positions 524 to 776 of the family's 1533-position model. The record is from RNAcentral.
GACGAACCGUCCAAACGUUAUUCGGAAUCACUGGGCUUACAGAGUUCGUAGGCGGUCUGGAAAGUUGGGUGUGAAAUCCCUCGGCUCAACCGAGGAACUGCGCUUGAAACUACCAGACUCGAGGGAGAUAGAGGAAAGCGGAACUGAUGGUGGAGCGGUGAAAUGCGUUGAUAUCAGGAAGAACACCCGUGGCGAAGGCGGCUCUCUGGGACGGUACUGACGCUGAGACGCGAAAGCGUGGGGAGCGAACAGG